UCAGGAGGUCGGGAGAUCCUGCUAGAUCUAUGAGGUAGUAGAGAAACAUCAACUACUGGCUCAUGGACUACGGAUUCUUGAAGAUCUAUAGCUCUUGGCUCUUCAGAGACUUUCUCUUCGAGCUCCACUAACCUUCCACUGCUGCCAUCCUAGAUAAACUACUUUUCUAAGAAUACGAUGUUUCAACUUACAAUCAUAUUGCGGCCUGAUAG
This 212-nucleotide long non-coding RNA is filed under the name Elaeis guineensis (African oil palm). Its description in RNAcentral is "long non-coding RNA (EGUI_LNC055264)". Lineage: Eukaryota; Viridiplantae; Streptophyta; Magnoliopsida; Arecales; Arecaceae. The record is from RNAcentral.